Apteryx owenii (little spotted kiwi) is the source of this 1023-nucleotide long non-coding RNA. NCBI's taxonomy places the organism in Eukaryota, Metazoa, Chordata, Aves, Apterygiformes, Apterygidae. The record is from Ensembl.
GUCUGAAAGAAGAGCAUGUUGUACUGAUUCUAAAGAAAGAAAAAUACCAUUUGCAUCAUGUUUUGUCCUUCAGCGAUAAAAAGAAAUUUUCAGCAUAGCAAAAGAACAGAUCAAAUGUUAUUCCAGAUUUACAGGAGAAAAGAAAUCACAAGUUACAGAGUUGGAGACCCUACAGAAAACAAAGCAAAGGAGAGGUUUUGUUAAAAAGAUGUCCUGGCAAGAUCUCCUCCUCCUCUGUCCCAGAUCAUCUAGCUGCAGUUACCAGGAUUUUGCAAUCACAGAAUCACAGAAUCACAGAAUCGCUGAGGUUGGAAGGGACCUCUGGAGAUCAUCUAGUCCAACCCCCCUGCUCAAGCAGGGUCACCUAGAGCACAUUGCACAGGAUUGCAUCCAGGCGCGUUUUGAAUAUCUCCAGAGAAGGAGACUCCACAACCUCUCUGGGCAACCUGUUCCAGUGCUCUGUCACCCUCACAGUGAAAAAGUUUUUCCUUAUGUUCAGAUGGAAGUGUCUGUGUUUCAGUUUGUGCCCAUUGCCUCGCGUCCUGUUGCUGGGCACCACUGAAAAGAGUCUGGUCCCAUCCUCUCGACACCCUCCCUUCAGAUACUUGUACACGUUGAUAAGAUCUCCUCUCAGCCUUCUCUUCUCCAAGCUAAACAGGCCAAGCUCUCUCAGCCUUUCCUCAUAAGAGAGAUGCUCCAGUCCCCUAAUCAUCUUUGUGGCCCUUCGCUGGACUUGCUSCAGUAGUGCCACAUCCCUCUUGUMCUGGGGAGCCCAGAACUGGACGCAGUACUCCAGCUGUGGCCUCACCAGGGCUGAGUAGAGGGGGAGAAUCACCUCCCUCGACCUGCUGGCAACACUCUUCCUGAUGCACCCCAGGAUACCAUUGGCCUUCUUGGCCACAAGGGCACAUUGCUGCUCAUGGUUAACUUGGUGUCCACCAGCACUCCCAGGUCCUUCUCCGCAGAGCUGCUCUCCAGCAGGUCAACCCCCAACCUGUACUGGUGCAUGGGGUUAUUCCUCCC